RNAcentral lists this transfer-messenger RNA (386 nucleotides) under Helicobacter pylori. It matches the Rfam family "transfer-messenger RNA". From Rfam's summary of the family: Bacterial tmRNA, also known as 10Sa RNA or SsrA, is named for its dual tRNA and mRNA-like properties. Its role is to liberate the mRNA from a stalled ribosome. Lineage: Bacteria; Pseudomonadati; Campylobacterota; Epsilonproteobacteria; Campylobacterales; Helicobacteraceae. The record is from RNAcentral.
GGGGCUGACUUGGAUUUCGACAGAUUUCUUGUCGCAUAGACAGCAUGCCAAGCGCUGCUUGUAAAACAGCAACAAAAAUAACUGUAAACAACACAGAUUACGCUCCAGCUUACGCUAAAGCUGCGUGAGUUAAUCUCCUUUUGGAGCUGGACUGAUUAGAAUUUCUAGCGUUUUAAUCACUCCAUAACCUUAAGCUAGACGCUUUUAAAAGGUGGUUCGCCUUUUAAACUAAGAAAUAAGAACUCUUGAAACUACCUCAAGGUUUUAGAAAGUUGGACCAGAGCUAGUUUUAAGGCUAAAAAACCAACCAAUUUUCUAAGCAUUGUAGAAGUUUGUGUUUAGGGCAAGAUUUUUGGACUGGGGUUCGAUUCCCCACAGCUCCACCA